UACGUAGGGUGCGAGCGUUGUCCGGAAUUAUUGGGCGUAAAGAGCUCGUAGGCGGCUUGUCACGUCGGAUGUGAAAACCCGGGGCUCAACCCCGGGCCUGCAUUCGAUACGGGCAAGCUAGAGUUCGGCAGGGGAGACUGGAAUUCCUGGUGUAGCGGUGAAAUGCGCAGAUAUCAGGAGGAACACCGGUGGCGAAGGCGGGUCUCUGGGCCGAUACUGACGCUGAGGAGCGAAAGCGUGGGGAGCGAACAGG
This 253-nucleotide ribosomal RNA is filed under the name uncultured bacterium. RNAcentral's name for it is "partial 16S ribosomal RNA". It matches the Rfam family "Bacterial small subunit ribosomal RNA", at positions 524 to 776 of the family's 1533-position model. The record is from RNAcentral.